Molecule: ribosomal RNA, 406 nt
Filed under: uncultured bacterium
Lineage: Bacteria
Description: bacterial SSU rRNA
Rfam family: Bacterial small subunit ribosomal RNA
Source: RNAcentral
CCCUUAGAGUUUGAUCCUGGCUCAGGACGAACGCUGGCGGCGUGCUUAACACAUGCAAGUCGAGGGCGGGGAGCAAUCCCCGACCGGCGAACGGGUGCGUAACACGUGAGCGACCUGCCCGCGUGUGGGGGAUAGCCGGCCCAACGGCCGGGUAAUACCGCAUACGCUCUUUGGGGGGCAUCCCCUGGAGAGGAAAGGAGCAAUCCGCAGGCGGAGGGGCUCGCGGCCUAUCAGCUAGUUGGUGCGGGUCAUGGCCCACCAAGGCGACGACGGGUAGCUGGUCUGAGAGGAUGGCCAGCCACAUUGGGACUGAGAGACGGCCCAGACUCCUACGGGAGGCAGCAGUGGGGAAUCUUGCGCAAUGGCCGCAAGGCUGACGCAGCGCGCCGCGUGAGGGAGGAAGGCU